This is a long non-coding RNA of Amphiprion ocellaris (clown anemonefish), 989 nucleotides long. The record is from Ensembl. NCBI's taxonomy places the organism in Eukaryota, Metazoa, Chordata, Actinopteri, Pomacentridae.
UUCAUUAGUUUUCAUGGUCAAAAUGAGAGAUCAGGUUUUUGAUCUUAAAAUAAAUCAAUAUUAAAUUUUUAUAGAGCGUUAAAGUUUUAGAAGCCAGGGGGUGGGACUACUUGAUUGACAGUCCGGUCUGGAAUGAUUGACAGGUCCUAUGGAGGAGGCAGCAGAGACUCUGCUCUCCUCGUUUGGAUUAAUUCUGAUAUAAUAACUGUUGGUUUAUUUAUCGGUGCAGCAGCAGAACAUUUUCCACAGACAGUUUUCCUGCCCGUUGGCUUGUUUUAACCAGUUUUCUACCUUCGGCUGAUUGUACCAGCAGACACUGAAAGGACUCUGAUAGUUCGAGUGAAAGUAGCAGUUCCUCCUGAAGGUCAGAGAUUGCAGCAUCUGAGGGCCUCUUCAAAAGAAGACGUAGUUGAUGAAGGCGUUCUGGAGCAGGACCAGAAAGACCACGACCAAGCAGCCUUGAGAUCUUAGACAGCGUCUCCCUCAGGUCCCUCUCUAUCUCCCCACACAUCCACCAACCACUGGAACACAUCUCCAAAGUUCUGCUGGACCAGCUCAGCUUCCCCUCAGAAGUGCUGCCACCUGCCAGAUGAAGGAGCCUUUUGAGAGGCAGCUGGCAUCGUGAUUGGACUGUACUUUGGUCUGUUCCAAUCCAGCUUCAGCUCCAGAGACGGCAGGCGGGACGAGUCAACGGAGGCCGGGUGGACGAAGGCAUGAAGCUGAGUACAAUCCAGAAAACAACAGAGGAGGAAUGCAGCAGCCCAGAGCCAGAACAACCAGAGUAGCAUCCGACUCCAUGGAUUUUAUGGAUGGUGGUUAAAGACCUGCUCUUCUAGUCGUCUUCUAGUCGCUGUAAAAAGUCAGUCCAUCCUGGCCGACUUCAACACCUCUUCAUGACAACUUGUUCUGCCUCCGACCUGGUGGAAACUCCAGAAACUCGGGAAAACCUGUGGAGACUCGAAGAACUCGUGGAGACUCGAAGAACUCGU